CCCAACUCAGCCUCCUGAGUAGCUGAGACCACAGGUAUGCAACACCAUGCCUGGCUUUUUUAUCUUUUGUGGAGACAGGGUCUCACUAUGUUGCUCAGGCUGGUCUCAAGCUCUCAGGUUCAAACAAUCCCCUCACCUUAGCCUCCCAAAGUGCUGGGAUUACAGGUGCAAGCCACUGUGCCUGGCCUCAUUAUCACCAUUUGUAAGUGACACACUGGUGUUACCAUUUCAGCUCCCUAUGAGUUCCAGUGGUGUGUUUCUUUCGCCUCCCCAUAGUUCCCUGCCACGGCAGUCUAGAGAAGAGCAAGCAGUCUGCUGUAAUGGAAGGCAGGAGACACAGGCUAAAGUUGUGGCAUGCUGACACUUGCAGCUCGUAUGAGACAAACCAAAUUUGUUUACCACUCUGGAUGUCGGUCUCCUCAUCUACAAAAUGAGGAGAGAGGCCCCCAUGCCUGAUACCUCUCAUAUUUUGGUGUAUGAUUACUGUUGAACACCUGCUUGUCUCCACCAAGCAGAUACAGUGCGGCGGGAGAAACAGCUUGCGACCAGAGCAGAAUAAUCCCAGCAACUCUCCUUGCUUGGAAUUGUUUUCUGCCUAAUAUGUGAUCCUGCCCGCACUAUGAAAUGUUCCUUUUGGAUCAGAAUUCAUGAACAGUAUCUAAAAGAUUCUGGGAAAGCCUCCAUAGACCUGGGACCUACAGCCACUUUGCCAGAGAAGAACGAUGAUUCAUCCUGAAUUUUGGCUCUAGCUUCUUUGUUAGGGCAAAACAGAGAUCCUGCCAGCUGUUGGAAUGAAAGGAGCGUUUUUCUUUAGACAGUGACAAGCCUGAGGCAAGGGACACAGUGUCAUGAGAGUUCCCACUCAGAAACGGAGAUGCUCCUUGGAGUCGGACACACUCACCCCUUGACCAAACUUGAGUAAGGCUCCUCUGAGUCCUCUUUUUCUUUUUUUGAUGUUUUUUGUUGUUGUUGUUGGUUGUUUUGUUUUGUUUUUUGGUGUUGGUUUUUUUUUUUGUAUUUUUGAGAAAGUGUCUCACUCUGUCACCCACGUUGGAGUGCAGUGGAAUCAUGGCUCGCUGCAGCCUCAACCUCCUGGGCUCAAGUGAUCCUCCAACCUCAGCCUCCUGAGUAGCUGGGACUACAGACAUGUACCACGCGUGGCUAAUUUUUACACUUUUUUGUAGAGAUGGGGUCUCACUAUGUUGCCCAGUCUGGUCUUGAACUUCUGGACUCAAGUGAUCCUCCCACCUCAGUUUUCAAAGUGUUGGGAUUAUGGGCAUGAGCUAUUGCACCCUGCCUGAGUCCUCUUUCUGACUCUUGGACUCUUAGUCCAGUUUUAGCAAGAAUUCUGCUGAGUCAGUUUAGCAAAAAUCUCCUAUCCUUGGUAUCUGAUCACAUUCCUCAUUCCCUACCCUGAUAGCUUAUCACCCUGGCCUGCCUUCAGCAAGAAUCCUAGUGACUUGGUGUAUCAAGAAUUGCCCCAGCCCUCACGUUUCCUCUUAGUACUUUUCUAUCUACUGACCCCAACAUUGCUCCUUGGCUGUAUAAAUCUCCACUUGUCCUGCUAUGUUUGGGGUUGAGUCUGACCUUUCUCCCCUAUUGCAGAACCCCACUGCGGUGGCUCCUGCUUGAAUAAGUCUUCCUUACCAUCUUUUUUUUUUUUUUUUUGAGAUGGAGUCUCGCUCUAUUCGCUCUAUCGCCCAGGCUGGAGUGCAGUGGCACAAUCUUGGCUCACUGCAACCUCCACCUCCUGAGUUCAAGCAAUUCUCCUGUCUCAGCCUCCCAAGUAGCUGGGAUUACAGGCACCCAUGAUCACACCCGGCUAAUUUCUGUAUCUUUAGUAGAGACGGGGUUUCACCAUGUUGACCAGGCUGGUCUCAAACUCCUGACCUCAGGUGAUCCACCUGCCUCGGCCUCCCAAAGUGCUGGAAUUACAGGUGUGAGCCAUGGUGCUCGGCCCGUUACCAUCUUUAACAAUAGUCAGGAAUAACUUUUCAUCAAGAAUUCCCAGGAUGGUGAACCAUCUGCCACGUGAGCCUGUUUGAUAAUCAGGGAUGAGGGAGCCUUCACGCCAGCCUCUGAGAAACCAGGCGUGUACCUGUUGGUCUCAAAGUCACCCUCUCUUGACUCCUCCUCCAAACCUCACCAUCAAGAUGCUCCAAUGAAAGCAGGUCUUGGGCAAUUCUGCCAGCCAGCCAUGCUCAUUGGCAAGGCUGCACAAAACAGUUUGUAAGCUUGGGGAAGUCCUAGCUGUCCUCAGAUUCUCAGAUACGUAGCUUGCUUGAAAGGUUGGGGUUCUGAAGGAGCAGCUUGAAUCUCAGUCCAUCCUGUGACAAUCUCACAAAGUGGGGACCAGAUUCUGAUGCCUCAUUGGGACAGAGGCAACAAUGACUAUGCAGUGCUCCUAGCUGGCCACAUGUUGUGAACAUUAUUUACUUCACCAGUGAAAACUUAUUUCAAACAUCCCUUAUGCUAAUUAAUCAACCCUCUGGUAUAAUUUUGAUAACCACAUUUGAAAUGCUUUGUUAAAACCACUGGACUAUGGAUUCCUAAGGAACUCCAAAGGCGAAACAGCUGCCCUCGCUAUAUAUGUUCAGUUAACCUAUGAGCAUGUGUAUCAUUAUUAAUGCUUAAGUAUUUAAAAGUAUAUUACUACCCAGAUGAACUAGGAAGGAGAUAAAUCACAUGACUUCUGAGUUCCCUCCCAUGCUAAAUAUAUGUAAACUAUUGUUAUAUAUAUAUAUGUUUCUGUGUUUUUUUUUUUUACUUUAAUACUCCUUAAAGUCAGGGAAGGAAGGCAGAAAUAGGUUUUCAGAUUUCGCCAUUUCUGAAGUUGCAGGGACAAUUCCAUGAAGCUAAGACAGGCCCCCCCUUGCUCCUGGUGUCCAUCUAACUGAUGCUCUCAGGCUUUAUGCCUCCUUUCCUCUUCCAGUUGUCGCUGGCAAUUUCUCAUUCCUCGGGAUGGCUGAGGCCAUCUCUGUGACUGUCCCCCCAAAGCUAGAAGCCAGACACUGUUCACACUUGUGGUGCCCACCUGUCUUCCUUGAGCCUUUCAGGUACACAGGGAGGCCUGCGGUGGCAGGUGGAGGUGAGCAAUAGGGUUCAGAAGGGAAGGUGGAGAGGGAUGCAGCUGGGAAAAAAAAAAAAAAGAUUCCAGAGCAGUGAGAAAGGCACAGCCAGGCCUGAGUGAGGGAAGGAAAGGCCAGUCCCUUCUCUUGCCUGGCUACAGGAGUGGGACAAAGUGGUUGGCUAACUGCUGUGGGGCCUCACUUGGAGAAACCAGUUUGGGGGUACACAAGGAGCUGUGAAGGAGAGAAGAAAUUAGACUAGGCCGCAUGGGCAGUCCACGGAAUGUUGGAGAACUACGGUGAGGCCCUCAAACAGGGCAAGGGCUUACCCCGGGCAGUGGGCCAGACCCCACUGGACAGCUAUGGUGCUGACAGGAGGACUCCUAGAGAAAUGGAAAGAUCAUGAGCCUGAAGGGGAAUUCAGUUUCUGGGAAUGGGCGGAUAAGAACGGAGAAAAUGUCAUUCUGAGAUGUCACUGUAGAUCUUCCCCAAACAGAGCUGACCCCAGGCAAGGGGCCUGACCCCAGCCUGUUCACAGCCCUCCAUCUCUCCCAUUUCUAGGGCUGUUUCCACAGCCCCCUUCCCACCGCAGCUCAGCACCUCCACACCAGUGUCUUUCCCCUCCUUUCCUCCAUCCCUUGUCCCCACCACAGUUCCCACUCUGGCAUGGUUCGUUGGCUUGGACCCAGGAAAUCUGUGGUCUGGAGAGGCAAGCUAGAAGUCUUAACAGCCCUUUCCCACAGAAGCAUGAAAUGGCAAACCAAUUUCAUGUUUGGGAGGUCGAGGAACAGAGCAGUUUCUGGAGUUGGACUGCCUGGGUGUGAAUGGCAGCUCCACCCCUUAGCUGCGGAGGGACCGUGCGCAAAUUACUGAACCUCAUUUUCCACAUCUGUCAAAUAGGGACAAUAAUAGCUUCCACCGCCUAUGCUGUCAUGAGCACAAAAUAGGAGUGUGUGCAAAGCUCUUAGCAUAGUAGCUGGUGCACAGGCAGUGCCCAGCAAGAAGCAGUACUCCAUUUCCUAUGUAACCUCUCUACUCAACUCCUCACCUCCACUCAUGUCUGGCCCAAACUAUUCUCCAUGCAGCAUGGUGAUCUUUUGAAAAUAUGCUGACAUCCAUCACUCUUCUGCUGAAAACUCCUCAACAGUAUCUCAUUGCUAGCACAACAGGCAGCCUGUGCAGCUACUGCCCACCGCUGCCCUGACUCGGGGCUGUGGUCACAGUGGCCUCUGGUGUUCUUCGCCCCUCUCUCUCUACCUGGAACAUUCUUCCCUGAUCCACUAAGUCGUGACUCAGCUCAAGUGCCAUUUCCUCGAAGAAGAAGCCCCUCUAACCACCUAUUGCUCUUUUUCAGCAAUAAUCCCCAAUCUGUAAUUACUUUAUUGAUUUAUUGUCCGUGAUCCCAUGAGAAGGCAGCUCCAUGAAGCCAUCCAGCCAAGUGCUUGCUGAAUGAACGAUACAGCCCGAAGGAUACAUGUAAUAACAAAUAUUACACAUCAAGCCCAGUGGCCCAAAGUAAACAUGUUUAUUCUCAGUUCUGCCUUAGGGGUCUCUAGUUUUGCAAGCAUGAGUAAAUGGAAUCAACAAUAAUCCUCUCC
Molecule: long non-coding RNA, 4666 nt
Filed under: Homo sapiens (human)
Lineage: Eukaryota; Metazoa; Chordata; Mammalia; Primates; Hominidae
Description: HSALNT0149920
Source: RNAcentral